CAUAUAGUUUUCUAGGGUUCCACAGUGUUUUACUGGUUUGGUCCAAGAGAAAACGCACAAGAAUAUUGUGUACACGGAAGGAUAAAAGCCUGGGAGAA
Molecule: small RNA, 98 nt
Filed under: Clostridium sp.
Lineage: Bacteria; Bacillati; Bacillota; Clostridia; Eubacteriales; Clostridiaceae
Also listed under: 1 other name
Description: Guanidine-I sequence
Rfam family: Guanidine-I riboswitch aptamer
About the family: This family represents a conserved RNA structure found upstream of the ykkC and yxkD genes in Bacillus subtilis and related genes in other bacteria. The function of this family is unclear although it has been suggested that it may function to switch on efflux pumps and detoxification systems in response to harmful environmental molecules. Nelson showed that this riboswitch senses and responds to guanidine and it was renamed Guanidine-I riboswitch.
Source: RNAcentral